Molecule: transfer RNA, 70 nt
Filed under: Ictidomys tridecemlineatus (thirteen-lined ground squirrel)
Lineage: Eukaryota; Metazoa; Chordata; Mammalia; Rodentia; Sciuridae
Description: Spermophilus tridecemlineatus (thirteen-lined ground squirrel) tRNA
Rfam family: tRNA
About the family: Transfer RNA (tRNA) molecules are approximately 80 nucleotides in length. Their secondary structure includes four short double-helical elements and three loops (D, anti-codon, and T loops). Further hydrogen bonds mediate the characteristic L-shaped molecular structure. tRNAs have two regions of fundamental functional importance: the anti-codon, which is responsible for specific mRNA codon recognition, and the 3' end, to which the tRNAs corresponding amino acid is attached (by aminoacyl-tRNA synthetases). tRNAs cope with the degeneracy of the genetic code in two manners: having more than one tRNA (with a specific anti-codon) for a particular amino acid; and 'wobble' base-pairing, i.e. permitting non-standard base-pairing at the 3rd anti-codon position.
Source: Rfam by way of RNAcentral
GGGGUUGUGGCUCAAUUGGUAGGGCGCCUGCCUAGCAUGCAUGAGGUAUUGGAUUCGAUUCUCAGCCCCA